Cercocebus atys (sooty mangabey) is the source of this 2149-nucleotide RNA transcript. RefSeq lists it as uncharacterized. NCBI's taxonomy places the organism in Eukaryota, Metazoa, Chordata, Mammalia, Primates, Cercopithecidae. The record is from RefSeq and is a predicted model, not a curated record. The transcript has 3 exons.
AUUAGUAAUAUGUUAGUCAAGUCAACAAUAAAAUUGUUGCACUGGCAUUUAGUGACAGUUCAGGAGAGCGCCCUUACAAGAGGCUCUGUAGGCAGAGAGUAGGUGACAUUAACCUUCUAAACAGAAGCCGCUGAACACCGAGUGCCAGAGUACCAAGAAGAAUUUAACAUUCCACUCCUACUGCCCUCCCCCACUUCCCGGCUUCAGCAAGGUGGUUUUAAAAUGAGGAGCACAUCCCGAGUGCUCUGUGUAGGUGGUGAAGUAGGCGGAGGUGAAAUGCAAGCUUUAUUUUCCCGGCUGCCUGUCAUCCGAUUCCCCGCUUUCCUCCGACUUUCAUGAAUGAUGAGGUCAUCCCGGUGCAGGAAAAUCAAACUCCUAUUUUUUCAAACCCAAUAAAGGCCAGCAUUGUACGUCUGCGUAAACAGAGAGGCCAGACGGGCAGGGUGGCGGGAGGACUAGUGGCCCGCCCUCUGGCGGCCGCGAGAGACAGCGUGCCCCGCGCUCCGCCGAGCCGCGACAGGGAGGCGGGGAGGGUGCGUGCGAACAUGACGCAGAGAUCCAUUACUGCGCGCGGCGGGGGAGAGGACGCCGCCGGGAGCUGGUGCGUGCCACACUGCAGCCUCGCAGGCUGCCCCGGACUUCCAGCCCCGGGUCGGCUCUGGGCGGGCAGGGGGAGGAUCCACACCGCCGAGCUGUGGCCCCGCUGCUCCCAGCCGCGCUCCCCCGGCGCGCCAGCUGAGGACUCAUUCCCGCCCAUUCCUUACCUCGAUGGAAUCCUUAGCCCUUAGAGAGAGGGCUAAAAAAAACAACAGACAGACAAACAAACAAACAAACAACAACAAAAAAACCAAAUUCGAGACGGCCCCGGGACCCUCCCGCAGAUGCAGGGCGCACUCUGGCCAGUUCUAACCAUAGAUGUGACUGCAUGUUGACAAGGGUUUCCAACCUAGCUUUCCCGAGGUACUGCAUGACUCAGUCCUUGCUCAGAUGGCGGUUGCUGUAAAUAGUUGCAAUUUCCCUCCUUCCGUCUCAAAGCACGGAUGAGAAUGGAUUUGCAGCGGAAACUGUGUAUUGUAUUUAAGGUCUUGGUGAGAUGGACGCGGGUUCCAUCAGCUCCAGACUUCCUGGGACACCUCGGCAUUUCCAGCACAUGUGUGUUAGCCUGCUGUGACCAUCUAGUUCCUAUUUAGAAAUGAAAGUCUCUCUCAGAUGUAUAAGGGGCAGAAAUUUUGGAGCUUGAACAGACUUUGGCAUAUGCUCAGAAUUGUAAAGUGAUGUAUUCAAGGCAACAAACAAACAAACUGACAAGGCUAGAAAUUGGACCUGAGGUAAACCUUGAGGGAGGUCUUCUGAUCCCAUCUAUUAUUCAAGAGGACAGGGAGCAGAGAAAGAGAAGAAGAGAGAAGAUAUUAUGGAAGGCUGUACCUGAAACAGAGAGCAAUUCUGAAGUUUUUUCUCCAAUUCUGGAGUUCAGAAGUGACCUACCCUCAGAAAUGCUGGAAAACAGACUUAGGUCUUUUGAGUCAAUUAUUACAACUAACAUUUGCUUAUUAUUAUUAUUGUUGUUGUUGUUCUACCUGGUUUGAAAACAGGAUUUAAAAUAAUUUGCCAAUGGUGAGAGCUCCUCUGGAGAAAGUUACAGAUGAGGCAGAUAGGAUGGUAAUAUAGAGGGUAAGAAAGUCUGUCAUUAGAAAGUUGAGAAUAUUACUGGCAGGGGUACAUUGGUAGUUGAAGGAAUUUCAGGACUAGGUGAUGUGGGCUCAUGAAUUACUCCACUCAACAGAGUAAAUGAGACAAGACUGGGCUCCUGUCCUUUGAAAACAUAAAAAGGAAAUGUUUCUAUCCUUUUCUAGAGGGAAAGUUGAUCACUGUCCCUUUUGUCCCCUCUAUGAUUGUUGAGCUAGUCCAGAGUGCCAAAGUAAGGGAAGAAAAAGUACGAGAUUAAUGACAAGAUGGGAUUCUGGAACUGAGAGCAGAGAGACCCAUCCCUUCCCGAGAUGCUCCUCACCCUUCCACUCACACGCUGAGCUACUGUAGCCAAACUUCACCUCUUAUAUGGGGAAGGAAAAACAUUUGAAUUUGCAGAAAGUCAAAGUCAUGAGAAGAUAAAACAAAUGUGAUGAAAAAUAAACGUGAUUUUUAUGUUUUA